RNAcentral lists this long non-coding RNA (394 nucleotides) under Trifolium pratense (red clover). Its description in RNAcentral is "long non-coding RNA (TPRA_LNC001135)". Lineage: Eukaryota; Viridiplantae; Streptophyta; Magnoliopsida; Fabales; Fabaceae. The record is from RNAcentral.
GUCAGGUCACUUUCACAAUUCACAAGUAAGACUAACAAACCGGGAAUUCUUUCAUUUGAAAUUCAAAAACCUCUCUCAUUUAGCUUCCUCUCUUUUUUCGAUUAUUUCAUUUCUCCCUCUCUUUUGACAAACUCAGAGAACGAAUGAUGAAGCAGAGAACACGACUGCAACGAAGGUAUGCACUUCAGAUCCAUUUUUCGUUUUUUGAUUUAUAGAUUCAUAUUUAUUUUUGAAUUCCAGAUCUAUUCUAUUUUUUUUCUUCAAUUUACGUUGAUGAUGCUUCUUCAUUCCUCACAUCGUGUUUUUUUUUUGUUUUCUUCUUCUUCAUGUGCAAUCAGAGAUUGCUGCUGACGAAUCUGAGAAAAAAGGUAUGUCAUUUAACAGUAUUAGCUUU